RNAcentral lists this ribosomal RNA (254 nucleotides) under uncultured bacterium. RNAcentral's name for it is "partial 16S ribosomal RNA". It matches the Rfam family "Bacterial small subunit ribosomal RNA", at positions 524 to 776 of the family's 1533-position model. The record is from RNAcentral.
CACGUAGGGGGCAAGCGUUGUCCGGAUUUAUUGGGCGUAAAGAGCUCGUAGGCGGUUCGGUAAGUCGGGUGUUAAACCCCCAGGCUCAACCUGGGGACGCCACUCGAUACUGCUGUGACUAGAGUCCGGUAGGGGAGCGUGGAAUUCCUGGUGUAGCGGUGAAAUGCGCAGAUAUCAGGAGGAACACCAGCGGCGAAGGCGGCGCUCUGGGCCGGUACUGACACUGAGGAGCGAAAGCGUGGGUAGCAAACAGG